Molecule: ribosomal RNA, 356 nt
Filed under: uncultured Methanomicrobiales archaeon
Lineage: Archaea; Methanobacteriati; Methanobacteriota; Methanomicrobia; Methanomicrobiales
Description: bacterial SSU rRNA
Rfam family: Archaeal small subunit ribosomal RNA
Source: RNAcentral
GGAGGAGGUGCAUGGCCGUCGUCAGUUCGUACUGUGAAGCAUCCUGUUAAGUCAGGCAACGAGCGAGACCCACGCCAACAGUUGCCAGCUCGUCCUCCGGGAUGGUGGGGACACUGUUGGGACCGCCUCUGCUAAAGAGGAGGAAGGAAUGGGCAACGGUAGGCCAGCAUGCCCCGAAUUAUCUGGGCUACACGCGGGCUACAAUGGGUGGGACAAUGGGUAUCGACACCGAAAGGUGAAGGCAAUCUCCUAAACCCAUCCGUAGUUCGGAUUGUGGGCUGCAACUCGCCCACAUGAAGCUGGAAUCUGUAGUAAUCGCGUUUCAACAGAACGCGGUGAAUACGUCCCUGCUCCUU